Molecule: ribosomal RNA, 491 nt
Filed under: uncultured bacterium
Lineage: Bacteria
Description: partial 16S ribosomal RNA
Rfam family: Bacterial small subunit ribosomal RNA
Source: RNAcentral
AGUGAACGCUGGCGGUAGGCCUAACACAUGCAAGUCGAACGGCAGCACAGUAAGAGCUUGCUCUUACGGGUGGCGAGUGGCGGACGGGUGAGGAAUACAUCGGAAUCUACUUUUUCGUGGGGGAUAACGUAGGGAAACUUACGCUAAUACCGCAUACGACCUACGGGUGAAAGCAGGGGAUCUUCGGACCUUGCGCGAUUGAAUGAGCCGAUGUCGGAUUAGCUAGUUGGCGGGGUAAAGGCCCACCAAGGCGACAAUCCGUAGCUGGUCUGAGAGGAUGAUCAGCCACACUGGAACUGAGACACGGUCCAGACUCCUACGGGAGGCAGCAGUGGGGAAUAUUGGACAAUGGGCGCAAGCCUGAUCCAGCCAUACCGCGUGGGUGAAGAAGGCCUUCGGGUUGUAAAGCCCUUUUGUUGGGAAAGAAAAGCAGCAGGUUAAUACCCCGCUGUUCUGACGGUACCCAAAGAAUAAGCACCGGCUAACUUCGU